RNAcentral lists this RNase P RNA (425 nucleotides) under Azospirillum oleiclasticum. RNAcentral's name for it is "RNase P RNA component class A". It matches the Rfam family "Bacterial RNase P class A". From Rfam's summary of the family: Ribonuclease P (RNase P) is a ubiquitous endoribonuclease, found in archaea, bacteria and eukarya as well as chloroplasts and mitochondria. Its best characterised activity is the generation of mature 5'-ends of tRNAs by cleaving the 5'-leader elements of precursor-tRNAs. Lineage: Bacteria; Pseudomonadati; Pseudomonadota; Alphaproteobacteria; Rhodospirillales; Azospirillaceae. The record is from RNAcentral.
UCAGAUGGCCGGAUGGCCGCCUUCGGCUCCGGCCGGGGGAGGAAAGUCCGGGCUCCACGGAAACACGGUGCCGGUUAACGGCCGGCGGGGGCGACCCCAGGGAAAGUGCCACAGAAAGCAAACCGCCGCGGUCCUUCGGGCCCGCGGUAAGGGUGAAAGGGUGCGGUAAGAGCGCACCGCGCCCCCGGCGACGGGGGCGGCACGGUAAACCCCACCGGGAGCAAGACCGAAUAGGGACGGCACGGUCCAGACCACCCACGGGGGUUCUUCCCAUGGGACGGCGUGGGCCAGGCGUGUUUCCGCGCCGCUGUUCGGGUUGGUCGCGCGAGGCGUCCGGCAACGGGCGUCCCAGAUGAAUGGCCAUCGCCCGGCACCGGGCGACCGGUGCCGGGACACAGAACCCGGCUUACAGGCCAUCUGACGCU